GAGAUCUGGUACAGGUGGGAGGAGAGAGUCACGAUGUAGCCGCUGCUGGAAUAUCGCCGGGCUGGACGACCUAAGCCGAUCCAAACCAGUCGAGGCCCUUGUCCUCGUUCUCAAGGGAGCUCAGGGCAGCUGCCUUCCUCUCUCCGGUUCCCCCGACGGCAUCCUCCCCUCCAGCCGGCCGAAGGCCAAACCCAGAAACGAGAGCCGACGGGCCGAAGCCCCAGCCCGAGCCGCCCCAGCUCCGCCCCAUGACGCUGGGAUGAUUUGAAGAAGAGUAAGAGUAAGUAGGAAGCGGGUUCUAGCCCGGUUUCU
RNAcentral lists this long non-coding RNA (312 nucleotides) under Ornithorhynchus anatinus (platypus). RNAcentral's name for it is "lncRNA (ENSOANG00000045686.1)". The record is from RNAcentral. Lineage: Eukaryota; Metazoa; Chordata; Mammalia; Monotremata; Ornithorhynchidae.